RNAcentral lists this small nucleolar RNA (137 nucleotides) under Saimiri boliviensis boliviensis (Bolivian squirrel monkey). Lineage: Eukaryota; Metazoa; Chordata; Mammalia; Primates; Cebidae. The record is from RNAcentral.
UGGGCCCUGAAUCAAGGCCAGCAGUUUGCUGAGGCUGUUGGUUUCAAGCAGGAGCCUAAAGAAUUAUCUUUCUACGGUCUGUUGGCCAUUUCAUGACUUCGGAAAUGUAGUGGCCAAUCCAUUAGAAAGAAACACGA